RNAcentral lists this ribosomal RNA (450 nucleotides) under uncultured bacterium. Its description in RNAcentral is "partial 16S ribosomal RNA". It matches the Rfam family "Bacterial small subunit ribosomal RNA", at positions 354 to 796 of the family's 1533-position model. The record is from RNAcentral.
GUGGGGAAUAUUGGACAAUGGGCGAAAGCCUGAUCCAGCCAUGCCGCGUGUGUGAAGAAGGUCUUCGGAUUGUAAAGCACUUUAAGUUGGGAGGAAGGGCAGUAAGUUAAUACCUUGCUGCUUUGACGUUACUGACAGAAUAAGCACCGGCUAACUUCGUGCCAGCAGCCGCGGUAAUACGAAGGGUGCAAGCGUUAAUCGGAAUUACUGGGCGUAAAGCGCGCGUAGGUGGUUUUGUAAGUUGGAGGUGAAAUCCCCGGGCUCAACCUGGGAACUGCCUCCAAAACUGCAUGACUAGAGUACGGUAGAGGGUAGUGGAAUUUCCUGUGUAGCGGUGAAAUACGUAGAUAUAGGAAGGAACACCAGUGGCGAAGGCGACUACCUGGACUGAUACUGACACUGGGGUGCGAAAGCGUGGGGAGCAAACAGGAUUAGAAGCCCGAGUAGUCC